AUUGAACGCUGGCGGCAGGCCUAACACAUGCAAGUCGAGCGGAUGAAGGGAGCUUGCUCCUGGAUUCAGCGGCGGACGGGGGAGUGAUGCCUAGGAAUCUGCCAGGUAGUGGGGGAUGACGUCAGGAAACGGGCGCUGAUACCACAAACGUCCAGAGGGGGAAGGUGGGGGAUGGUGGGACCUCAGGCUCUCAGAUGCGCCUGGGUCGGAUUAGCUAGUUGGUGGGGUAAAGGCCUACCAAGGCGACGAUCCGUAACUGGUCUGAGAGGAUGAUCAGUCACACUGGAACUGAGACACGGUCCAGACUCCUACGGGAGGCAGCAGUGGGGAAUAUUGGACAAUGGGCGAAAGCCUGAUCCAGCCAUGCCGCGUGUGUGAAGAAGGUCUUCGGAUUGUAAAGCACUUUAAGUUGGGAGGAAGGGCAGUAAGUUAAUACCUUGAUGUUUUGACGUUACCAACAGAAGAAGCACCGGCUAACUUCGUG
Molecule: ribosomal RNA, 484 nt
Filed under: uncultured bacterium
Lineage: Bacteria
Description: partial 16S ribosomal RNA
Rfam family: Bacterial small subunit ribosomal RNA
Source: RNAcentral